RNAcentral lists this ribosomal RNA (408 nucleotides) under uncultured bacterium. RNAcentral describes it as "partial 16S ribosomal RNA". It matches the Rfam family "Bacterial small subunit ribosomal RNA", at positions 28 to 526 of the family's 1533-position model. The record is from RNAcentral.
GACGAACGCUGGCGGCGUGCUUAACACAUGCAAGUCGAACGAAGUGGCGAACGGGUGAGUAAUUCGUCGGUAAUCUGCCCUCCUUUUUGGGAUAAGCCUUGGUAACGGGGUCUAAUACCGCAUAACGGGGGGUGGGCUCGCGGCCUACCAGCUUGUUGGUGGGGUGAUGGCUUACCAAGGCGGUGACGGGUAGCCGGCCUGAGGGGGUGACCGGGCACAUUGGGCGUGAGGUACGGCGCAGACUCCUACGGGAGGCAGCAGUGGGGGAUAUUGCACAAUGGGGGAAGGCCUGAUGCAGCGACGCCGCGUGGGGGAUGAAGGCUUGCGGGUUGAAAGCCUCUUUCGUUAUCGAACGGGUAGGUAGAGAAGAAGCGCCGGCUAACUACGUGCCAGCAGCCGCGGUAAUAC